UACGUAGGGGGGCAAGCGUUGUCCGGAAUCAUUGGGCGUAAAGCGCGUGUAGGCGGUUUCGGUAAGUCUGCUGUGAAAGUCCAGGGCUCAACCCUGGGAUGCCGGUGGAUACUGUCGGACUAGAGUACGGAAGAGGCGAGUGGAAUUCCCGGUGUAGCGGUGAAAUGCGCAGAUAUCGGGAGGAACACCAAUUGCGAAGGCAGCUCGCUGGGACGUCACUGACGCUGAGACGCGAA
This 236-nucleotide ribosomal RNA is filed under the name uncultured bacterium. RNAcentral describes it as "partial 16S ribosomal RNA". It matches the Rfam family "Bacterial small subunit ribosomal RNA", at positions 524 to 757 of the family's 1533-position model. The record is from RNAcentral.